GGAAUCUUAGACAAUGGGGGAAACCCUGAUCUAGCCAUGCCGCGUGUGUGAUGAAGGCCUUAGGGUCGUAAAGCACUUUCGCCAGAGAUGAUAAUGACAGUAUCUGGUAAAGAAACCCCGGCUAACUCCGUGCCAGCAGCCGCGGUAAUACGGAGGGGGUUAGCGUUGUUCGGAAUUACUGGGCGUAAAGCGCACGUAGGCGGAUUAGUAAGUUAGAGGUGAAAUCCCAGGGCUCAACCCUGGAACUGCCUUUAAUACUGCUAGUCUUGAGUUCGAGAGAGGUAAGUGGAAUUCCAAGUGUAGAGGUGAAAUUCGUAGAUAUUUGGAGGAACACCAGUGGCGAAGGCGGCUUACUGGCUCGAUACUGACGCUGAGGUGCGAAAGUGUGGGGAGCAAACAGGAUUAGAUACCCUGGUAGUCCAC
Molecule: ribosomal RNA, 423 nt
Filed under: uncultured Paracoccaceae bacterium
Lineage: Bacteria; Pseudomonadati; Pseudomonadota; Alphaproteobacteria; Rhodobacterales; Paracoccaceae
Description: bacterial SSU rRNA
Rfam family: Bacterial small subunit ribosomal RNA
Source: RNAcentral